ACACAUGCAAGUCGAACGGAAAGGCCCUUCGGGGUACUCGAGUGGCGAACGGGUGAGUAACACGUGGGUGAUCUGCCCUGCACUUUGGGAUAAGCCUGGGAAACUGGGUCUAAUACCGGAUAGGACCACGCGCUUCAUGGUGUGUGGUGGAAAGCUUUUGCGGUGUGGGAUGGGCCCGCGGCCUAUCAGCUUGUUGGUGGGGUAAUGGCCUACCAAGGCGACGACGGGUAGCCGGCCUGAGAGGGUGACCGGCCACACUGGGACUGAGAUACGGCCCAGACUCCUACGGGAGGCAGCAGUGGGGAAUAUUGCACAAUGGGCGCAAGCCUGAUGCAGCGACGCCGCGUGAGGGAUGACGGCCUUCGGGUUGUAAACCUCUUUCAAUAGGGACGAAGCGCAAGUGACGGUACCUAUAGAAGAAGGACCGGCCAACUACGUGCCAGCAGCCGCGGUAAUACGUAGGGUCCGAGCGUUGUCCGGAAUUACUGGGCGUAAAGAGCUCGUAGGUGGUUUGUCGCGUUGUUCGUGAAAACUCACAGCUUAACUGUGGGCGUGCGGGCGAUACGGGCAGACUAGAGUACUGCAGGGGAGACUGGAAUUCCUGGUGUAGCGGUGGAAUGCGCAGAUAUCAGGAGGAACACCGGUGGCGAAGGCGGGUCUCUGGGCAGUAACUGACGCUGAGGAGCGAAAGCGUGGGGAGCGAACAGGAUUAGAUACCCUGGUAGUCCACGCCGUAAACGGUGGGUACUAGGUGUGGGUUUCCUUCCUUGGGAUCCGUGCCGUAGCUAACGCAUUAAGUACCCCGCCUGGGGAGUACGGCCGCAAGGCUAAAACUCAAAGGAAUUGACGGGGGCCCGCACAAGCGGCGGAGCAUGUGGAUUAAUUCGAUGCAACGCGAAGAACCUUACCUGGGUUUGACAUGCACAGGACGCCGGCAGAGAUGUCGGUUCCCUUGUGGCCUGUGUGCAGGUGGUGCAUGGCUGUCGUCAGCUCGUGUCGUGAGAUGUUGGGUUAAGUCCCGCAACGAGCGCAACCCUUGUCUCAUGUUGCCAGCACGUUAUGGUGGGGACUCGUGAGAGACUGCCGGGGUCAACUCGGAGGAAGGUGGGGAUGACGUCAAGUCAUCAUGCCCCUUAUGUCCAGGGCUUCACACAUGCUACAAUGGCCGGUACAAAGGGCUGCGAUGCCGUGAGGUGGAGCGAAUCCUUUCAAAGCCGGUCUCAGUUCGGAUCGGGGUCUGCAACUCGACCCCGUGAAGUCGGAGUCGCUAGUAAUCGCAGAUCAGCAACGCUGCGGUGAAUACGUUCCCGGGCCUUGUACACACCGCCCGUCACGUCAUGAAAGUCGGUAACACCCGAAGCCGGUGGCCUAACCCUUGUGGAGGGAGCCGUCGAAG
This 1396-nucleotide ribosomal RNA is filed under the name Mycobacterium sp. 205. Its description in RNAcentral is "bacterial SSU rRNA". It matches the Rfam family "Bacterial small subunit ribosomal RNA". Lineage: Bacteria; Bacillati; Actinomycetota; Actinomycetes; Mycobacteriales; Mycobacteriaceae. The record is from RNAcentral.